RNAcentral lists this ribosomal RNA (406 nucleotides) under uncultured bacterium. RNAcentral's name for it is "partial 16S ribosomal RNA". It matches the Rfam family "Bacterial small subunit ribosomal RNA", at positions 30 to 526 of the family's 1533-position model. The record is from RNAcentral.
AUUGAACGCUGGCGGCAGGCCUAACACAUGCAAGUCGAACGAGUGGCGGACGGGUUCGUAAUGUCUGGGCACCUGCCUGAUGGAUGGGGAUCCCUACUGGCAACGGUAGCUAAUCCCGCAUACCAUCGUCUAUGCCCAGGUGGGAUUAGCUAGUUGGUGGGGUAAAGGCCCACCAAGGCGACGAUCCCUAGCUGGUCUGAGAGGAUGACCAGCCACACUGGAACUGAGACACGGUCCAGACGCCUACGGGAGGCAGCAGUGGGGAAUAUUGAACAAUGGGCGCAAGCCUGAUGCAGCCAUGCCGCGUGUAUGAAGAAGGCCUUCGGGUUGUAAAGUACUUUCAGCUGGGAGGCGUUACCCGCAGAAGAAGCACCGGCUAACUCCGUGCCAGCAGCCGCGGUAAUAC